This 1222-nucleotide ribosomal RNA is filed under the name Enterococcus avium. Its description in RNAcentral is "bacterial SSU rRNA". It matches the Rfam family "Bacterial small subunit ribosomal RNA", at positions 173 to 1383 of the family's 1533-position model. Lineage: Bacteria; Bacillati; Bacillota; Bacilli; Lactobacillales; Enterococcaceae. The record is from RNAcentral.
AUAACAAUCGAAACCGCAUGGUUUCGGUUUGAAAGGCGCUUUUGCGUCACUGAUGGAUGGACCCGCGGUGCAUUAGCUAGUUGGUGAGGUAACGGCUCACCAAGGCAACGAUGCAUAGCCGACCUGAGAGGGCGAUCGGCCACAUUGGGACUGAGACACGGCCCAAACUCCUACGGGAGGCAGCAGUAGGGAAUCUUCGGCAAUGGACGCAAGUCUGACCGAGCAACGCCGCGUGAGUGAAGAAGGUUUUCGGAUCGUAAAACUCUGUUGUUAGAGAAGAACAAGGAUGAGAGUAGAAUGUUCAUCCCUUGACGGUAUCUAACCAGAAAGCCACGGCUAACUACGUGCCAGCAGCCGCGGUAAUACGUAGGUGGCAAGCGUUGUCCGGAUUUAUUGGGCGUAAAGCGAGCGCAGGCGGUUUCUUAAGUCUGAUGUGAAAGCCCCCGGCUCAACCGGGGAGGGUCAUUGGAAACUGGGAAACUUGAGUGCAGAAGAGGAGAGUGGAAUUCCAUGUGUAGCGGUGAAAUGCGUAGAUAUAUGGAGGAACACCAGUGGCGAAGGCGGCUCUCUGGUCUGUAACUGACGCUGAGGCUCGAAAGCGUGGGGAGCAAACAGGAUUAGAUACCCUGGUAGUCCACGCCGUAAACGAUGAGUGCUAAGUGUUGGAGGGUUUCCGCCCUUCAGUGCUGCAGCUAACGCAUUAAGCACUCCGCCUGGGGAGUACGACCGCAAGGUUGAAACUCAAAGGAAUUGACGGGGGCCCGCACAAGCGGUGGAGCAUGUGGUUUAAUUCGAAGCAACGCGAAGAACCUUACCAGGUCUUGACAUCCUUUGACCACUCUAGAGAUAGAGCUUCCCCUUCGGGGGCAAAGUGACAGGUGGUGCAUGGUUGUCGUCAGCUCGUGUCGUGAGAUGUUGGGUUAAGUCCCGCAACGAGCGCAACCCUUAUUGUUAGUUGCCAUCAUUUAGUUGGGCACUCUAGCGAGACUGCCGGUGACAAACCGGAGGAAGGUGGGGAUGACGUCAAAUCAUCAUGCCCCUUAUGACCUGGGCUACACACGUGCUACAAUGGGAAGUACAACGAGUCGCGAAGUCGCGAGGCUAAGCUAAUCUCUUAAAGCUUCUCUCAGUUCGGAUUGUAGGCUGCAACUCGCCUACAUGAAGCCGGAAUCGCUAGUAAUCGCGGAUCAGCACGCCGCGGUGAAUACGUUCCCGGCCCUUG